Non-coding RNA from Cladochytrium replicatum, 71 nucleotides. The record is from the annotation of a GenBank genome assembly. NCBI's taxonomy places the organism in Eukaryota, Fungi, Chytridiomycota, Chytridiomycetes, Cladochytriales, Cladochytriaceae.
GCAACAGUAGUUCAGUGGUAGAAUUGCCGCCUCCCACGCGGCAGGCCCGGGUUCAAUUCCCGGCUGUUGCA